Molecule: ribosomal RNA, 432 nt
Filed under: uncultured bacterium
Lineage: Bacteria
Description: partial 16S ribosomal RNA
Rfam family: Bacterial small subunit ribosomal RNA
Source: RNAcentral
AACGAACGCUGGCGGCAUGCCUAACACAUGCAAGUCGAACGAGACCUUCGGGUCUAGUGGCGCACGGGUGCGUAACGCGUGGGAACCUGCCCUUAGGUUCGGAAUAACUCCCCGAAAGGGGUGCUAAUACCGGAUAAUGUCUUCGGACCAAAGAUUUAUCGCCUUUGGAUGGGCCCGCGUUGGAUUAGCUAGUUGGUAGGGUAAAAGCCUACCAAGGCGACGAUCCAUAGCUGGUCUGAGAGGAUGAUCAGCCACACUGGGACUGAGACACGGCCCAGACUCCUCCGGGAGGCAGCAGUGGGGAUAAUUGGACAUUGGGCGAAAGCCUGAUCCAGCAAUGCCGCUUGGGUGAUGAAGGCCUUAGGGUGGUAAAGCUCUUUUACCCGGGAUGAUAAUGACGGUACCGGGAGAAUAAGCUCCGGCUACCUCCUU